RNAcentral lists this unclassified non-coding RNA (404 nucleotides) under Hevea brasiliensis (rubber tree). The record is from RNAcentral. Lineage: Eukaryota; Viridiplantae; Streptophyta; Magnoliopsida; Malpighiales; Euphorbiaceae.
CAAUUCAUUGACAUCAAGAAUCCAACAUGAAUUACAAUGCUAAGAUAUAGCUUUUAUAAUUCUUGAACUAACUAACUAUAAACGUGUAUAGUUCUAACUCUCUCUUUAUUCCCGCGCCUAUUAUAACAAACUCCAACAAAAGUGGUCUUCUCGCCAAAUAACAGUAUCGUAUCAAUACCUUCCUCUCCAAAAAUUCCUAGUCCUCAAGGAACUCUAAAGAAUGUAGAUAUGGCUUGUUGGCGUAUUUCCAUACUUGACUUCUUCGUUGAUAGGAAACAUAUUUUCUUCCUCUGUGUUUGCCCUAUUUCGUACUUCGUUCUCCUUGAGAUUCCAAUACCUUCUUUUACAUUUUAUCUCUUCAAAAAGUUUCACAUUUCUGGUUAACAAAAGCUCUUGAUAUUGUU